This 73-nucleotide transfer RNA is filed under the name Campylobacter hyointestinalis subsp. hyointestinalis. RNAcentral's name for it is "tRNA-Met". Lineage: Bacteria; Pseudomonadati; Campylobacterota; Epsilonproteobacteria; Campylobacterales; Campylobacteraceae. The record is from RNAcentral.
UGUAUAGUGUUUGGCGUAUAAUGGCGGGCUCAUAACCCGAAGGUCGGAGGUUCAAGUCCUUCUCUCGCAACCA